GAGCUAGAUUCCUAAUAAGGAGGUGUCCCAUGAACAAAAAUGUGUAUUUCCAGGGAACUUAAUUAUCCUCAUUCUAUUCAAUGACUGCAGCACCAUCCCCACCGUCAAUGAGCAUGAGCAGAUUAAUUCAUUUGACAAAUAUUUGCCAAGUACCUACAAGGCAUCAUUCUCCAUGAGCACAUACUUGUAAACAAAACACAGCAGCAAAGGACCCUACCCUCUAGGGGAGGCAGGCAAUAGAAAAAUAAGGAGAUAAUAUGUGCGUCAUGACAAGCAUUUUGAAGACAAAAUAGUGGAAGGGGAUAAGGAGUAAUGGGGAUAAAGGAGGUGCUGCUCUUUUAUGUAGACCAGUCAAAGAGCAGAACCUGUACAAAGUAAGUGAGCAUCGUGACCAGCUGGGAGAAGAGCAAUGCAGGAAGAAGAUGUGGUUAGUGCAAAGGCCCCAGGAAGACUGUGCCUGAUGUGUUUGAGCAGCAGCGAUGAGGCCAGUGUGGCUGGGGCUGAGUGGGUGGGGUGGGGGAGUGGAAGAUGAUACGGUCAGAGAGGCUGUGGGGGAAAGACUUGUAGGACUGUAUAAAAACUUAGGCUUUCUAAGAGAGAUGGGAAAUCACAGGAACAUCAUGAUCUGAUUCAAAUUGUCACAGGAUCCCUCUGGCUGCAGUGUGGAGAGUGGCCUGUAGGGGACCAAGGGUGGAGACAGAGGGCCAGUGAGUAGGCUACUGCACCAGUCCAGGCAAACACUGAAGGCCUGUGUAUAUAUGUUGUUCCCUCGGUCUGUCUCAGGUCUCUUGAAUAGUAAGAAUGCUUUGCUCUGUUGAAGAUGAUUCCGUUCUUUACAUAAGUAAUUAAAUGUCUUUCCUUUGCUGUUUCCUGAUACCUAAAUGCAGUAAUAUGUGCUCAUGAUAGAAAACUUAGAAAAUAAAGAAAAGCAUUAAACAAUAAAGAUUUCCAACUCCUACAACUCAAAGGAAACAGAUAAAUGAUUCUACUUUAGAGGUCUAAAUGUACAGGAACUCAUUGAUUUGCUCAUCAAAAGGUGAAGAGGGAAGAGUAGCAGCCCCAGGUAGAUCUACCCAGCAGGCGAGGCUGCCCUCAGGAACCACAGCCUUCCCUUUCCUAAUGAUUUCUACUCUGUGGCACCCACUCUUCCCUCCUCAGGGCUCUGGUGUUACCCUCCUUCUGGGUCUCCAUCAAAUCUGCUCUCAGCAAAAGAUCCAGCUCAUUCAUCCAGCCCCAAGGGACAGGGCUUCACCUCAGGACAAGGGUGAGAUGAAUGAGGUCUUGGACACGAAUUUAAGAAGUCAAAAAACUCAGCCAUCAAGAUAAAUCAUAUUAAAAUGCAAUAGUUCAAAAAAUUAAAAUUAAUUUAAAAAGUCCAUGAACAAAAUAUAAACAUUUAAAAUAAAGACAGGGUCCAACCUUGCACCUGCACAGUCCUGCCUUGCUCUCCGCACCCUAACCCAGCCCUGCUCAGCCCAAGAGCUUUGAAUCUGAAUACGAAUCAUUCCAGACUUCAAGGUCAAGUUAAAGUGUUAAUCGUCUACCAGAAUGUGAUUUCUAGCUUCAAUAAGAAAACCAAGGAAACAACUUCCACAUCAAUGCAAAGGUUUUGUCAUUUCACCAGGUUUUUUUGUCCCCCUCUCUUUACCUGAUGGUUUAGUAAAGAGGUGAAGAAGUCUGUGGCUGAAUGAACACAUUGAAUAACUGCAGAGACUUAAAUUCCAAUCUUAAAUAUUCAUCAAGAUAUUUUACUUUUUUUUUUUUUUUUUUUUUUUUUUUUGAGGUAAAGUCUCAUUCUGUUGCCCAGGCUGUAGUGCAGUACCGUGAUCUCGGCUCACUGCAACCUCUGCCUCCCAGGUUCAAGCAAUUCUCCUGCCUCAGCCUCUCGAGUAGCUGGGACUACAGACACAUGCCACCACACCUGGUUAAUUUUUGUAUUUUUAGUAGAGGCGGGGUUUCUCCAUGUUGGUCAGGCUGGUCUCAAACUCCUGACCUCAGAUGAUCCACCCACCUCGGCCUCCCAAAGUGCUGGGACUACAGGUGUGAGUCACCACGCUUGGCCAUGCCAGUUGUUUCUGCUGCUUGCCGUGUAGACCGCUGUGAUGACCAUCCUCUUAUUGACCCUCCUGUGUCUCUGGAGCCCCACCACCUGCCUUCUACCCGGAACUUUCCUUCUCAGGUCCUUCUUCAACACCAGCUCCAGGAUCUGCAAGACCUUUGGAUAUGGCCGCUGCAGAAGGAAGGAGAACCACUUCCUGGAGAAGCAGGAGUAAGCCAGGAUCUGCCACAGGAGAGAGCCGGGACCCCAGGGUGUGGGAUAAGGCGAGGAGCAGGUCCGGAGGGAAGAUCUGAGGCAAAGACGUAGUGUUCACAGGUCCUACACCCCUUGCACCUACAGUGUCCCUUCUCUGAUGCUGAGGCUCUUGCUGCCUUCCGAGGAGAAAGUGGCAACAUGUCCUGUGAAACCACAGACUUAACACAUCUUCCAAAAGCCAGCUUGGCAGGAGGUCACUGCUAGAAGCACCUCUGAAAUAAUCUGAGCCGUCUUACCUGUUCCCCUUUUUCAGAUGGGAACACUGAGGCAGCCACCCUGCUGAGUGAGUCUGCAGUGCUCCUGAGCCACCACCCCCCAGGCUUGGCAAACUCACUGCGUUCUUGUCUGUAGCCUUGACUGCAGGGAGGAUCAGAGAUGCUCAUUUCUGGGAGGGUCUAGGAUCUGCCAGCUGCACAGUGUCCAAGUCAAGGGCUUCAGCAAUGACAAUGAACAAAUUCCUUUCUCUUUGCAGAGAGCCUGUCACCUGUGCUGCCUUGAGAUGCUGACGUCUGAGGAUGCCCCAGACAGGGCCUGUGGCAGCUUUCUGAAAUAGUGCAGCACCUUCUCUGCUUCCUCCUCAACCUUCUCCUUCACAGCAGAACCCUGCCUCCUUCCUCUCCCCACGGGCUUGUUUCAGCACUGUAUUUGAUAAACUGAGCACCACAAGAACACAAACCACAUUCCUUUGUUUUUUCAUCACGUUAUCCCCAGCACUUAGCACAGUGCCUGGCACAGAGGAGACAGUCUGUAAAUAUUUGUGUAAUGAAUGAAUAAAUGAGGGCAUGAGUACAUCUCCUUUGCCCAGGAUGG
This 3124-nucleotide small RNA is filed under the name Pongo abelii (Sumatran orangutan). RNAcentral describes it as "retained intron". Lineage: Eukaryota; Metazoa; Chordata; Mammalia; Primates; Hominidae. The record is from RNAcentral.